RNAcentral lists this ribosomal RNA (781 nucleotides) under uncultured bacterium. RNAcentral's name for it is "bacterial SSU rRNA". It matches the Rfam family "Bacterial small subunit ribosomal RNA", at positions 28 to 807 of the family's 1533-position model. The record is from RNAcentral.
GAUGAACGCUGGCGGCGUGCUUAACACAUGCAAGUCGAACGAAGCACUUUAUUUGAUUUCCUUCGGGACUGAUUAUUUUGUGACUGAGUGGCGGACGGGUGAGUAACGCGUGGGUAACCUGCCUUGUACAGGGGGAUAACAGUUGGAAACGGCUGCUAAUACCGCAUAAGCGCACGGCAUCGCAUGAUGCAGUGUGAAAAACUCCGGUGGUAUAAGAUGGACCCGCGUUGGAUUAGCUAGUUGGUGAGGUAACGGCCCACCAAGGCGACGAUCCAUAGCCGACCUGAGAGGGUGACCGGCCACAUUGGGACUGAGACACGGCCCAAACUCCUACGGGAGGCAGCAGUGGGGAAUAUUGCACAAUGGGCGAAAGCCUGAUGCAGCGACGCCGCGUGAGCGAAGAAGUAUUUCGGUAUGUAAAGCUCUAUCAGCAGGGAAGAUAAUGACGGUACCUGACUAAGAAGCACCGGCUAAAUACGUGCCAGCAGCCGCGGUAAUACGUAUGGUGCAAGCGUUAUCCGGAUUUACUGGGUGUAAAGGGAGCGCAGGCGGUGCGGCAAGUCUGAUGUGAAAGCCCGGGGCUCAACCCCGGUACUGCAUUGGAAACUGUCGUACUAGAGUGUCGGAGGGGUAAGCGGAAUUCCUAGUGUAGCGGUGAAAUGCGUAGAUAUUAGGAGGAACACCAGUGGCGAAGGCGGCUUACUGGACGAUAACUGACGCUGAGGCUCGAAAGCGUGGGGAGCAAACAGGAUUAGAUACCCUGGUAGUCCACGCCGUAAAC